UACGUAGGGGGCAAGCGUUGUCCGGAAUCAUUGGGCGUAAAGCGCGCGUAGGCGGCCCGGUAAGUCCGUUGUAAAAGUCGAAGGCUCAACCUUCGAAAGCCGAUGGAUACUGUCGAGCUCGAGUCCGGAAGAGGCGAGUGGAAUUCCUGGUGUAGCGGUGAAAUGCGCAGAUAUCAGGAGGAACACCAAUGGCGAAGGCAGCUCGCUGGGACGUGACUGACGCUGAGACGCGAAAGCGUGGGGAGCAAACAGG
Molecule: ribosomal RNA, 253 nt
Filed under: uncultured bacterium
Lineage: Bacteria
Description: partial 16S ribosomal RNA
Rfam family: Bacterial small subunit ribosomal RNA
Source: RNAcentral